This 98-nucleotide small nucleolar RNA is filed under the name Erythranthe guttata (spotted monkey flower). RNAcentral describes it as "Mimulus guttatus (spotted monkey flower) Small nucleolar RNA R30/Z108". It matches the Rfam family "Small nucleolar RNA R30/Z108". From Rfam's summary of the family: snoR30 is a C/D box small nucleolar RNA which acts as a methylation guide for 18S ribosomal RNA in plants. The record is from Rfam by way of RNAcentral. Lineage: Eukaryota; Viridiplantae; Streptophyta; Magnoliopsida; Lamiales; Phrymaceae.
AUAUAUUGCGAUGAGGAUAAUAAGCUCCCUCUUCUGAAUAUUGUGAGGACACUUUGCGGCAGAAUCGAACCAAUUACAUAAUUGCCACCACUGAGUUA